Molecule: long non-coding RNA, 540 nt
Organism: Cyprinus carpio (common carp)
Lineage: Eukaryota; Metazoa; Chordata; Actinopteri; Cypriniformes; Cyprinidae
Source: Ensembl
UAAACAGCAGACUGGAGUCAAAUGCAGAGAAAUCAAUCUAAUAUUGGCAUGCUCCCUUCAAAAGUGCUCAGAUUUAAAGAACAUUAUGGGUCAACUGAAAAUUCAUCAAACGGAGAACAUUUCUCAAAGAAAAAAAAAGUCCAGAUGAGCAAUGGGAAGUUCUGGCCCAUCAGCCUCUGCCCAUCCUCCCUUGAGAAGCUGAGAGUCUUCAGACUGGUUUCACAGUAGGUGCUGUUCUCACCUGAACAGACAGGAUGUGAGUUGAGCUGGGAGCUGAUCCCUUGCAGAAACAAUGGCUGAGAUGCACAUCAGACUAGGCCAGCUGUGUCUCCAGUGAAGUACAAAGGGAAAUGUAGGAAAUGAUGGGCUCCUGAAUAGAGCUCUGACAUAUAGUGGUACUGUACUCUACGCUGAACAUAUUGAGUGUUGACAUACACACACCAAAUAUACUGUAUUCUGUUCAUGUGAAAAAUGAUCAGAGAUCAAUAUCUCACAUUACAGUUUAUACUUUGUUUGAGCAUUAUCCACUUUGCCAAGAGC